Molecule: long non-coding RNA, 692 nt
Filed under: Equus caballus (horse)
Lineage: Eukaryota; Metazoa; Chordata; Mammalia; Perissodactyla; Equidae
Description: lncRNA (ENSECAG00000057777.1)
Source: RNAcentral
GUGAGACCUUUUACUCCCUGAAUGGAGUCUCCCAGGACGACGCUGAUUUCUGAAUUUUCCUGUUUAUUCACUAGCCAGCACAACUUUAUUAGGACCCCACAAGGCUUCUUCUGCUCUGUCACCUGCAAUGGAGACUCAUUUAGGCAGAGAGAAACCUUGCAUGGUUGUGAUUCAAGGAGCACUCUAAUUUCCUUUCAACGCCAGUUCCAAUUAUGGAUUGCAGAUGAGACUGAGGCACAGACGUAGGAUGCUGAAAGAGCAUGGAAGAACCUAGCAGAUGAGAGCAAGGAGCAGCAGAAGGUGGCAGCACUCUUGCUCCACACCCAGACUCUGCGCAAUUUACACAUGGGAAAGAUUGGAAAGGUCAUGUGACGUCAGCUUGGCCCACACAUUGGAAUGGGAAUCUGUUGGCAAAGUGAAAAUUAUUGGUCUCGCAAAACUGAGAUGGGAACAUCGACCUGAAAAGAAUGCAUCUUAUGGUUUUUACAAUGCCAUUUAGGAAUAUGACAUGAAUAUCCCAAAGUACAGAUGUAAGAAUGUGAAUUUUAAGUUCAAUAGAGAAGAAGGGAGAGAAAGAGAUAGAAAGGAGGAGAGGAAAAGACAGCAUGCCAUUUUUCAAGACGUAACUCUUAGCAUCUCUUUUUCUUUCCCGGAAAGUACUGAAUAUUGAUAAGAAUUGUGAAGACUCUGAG